CCUACGGGAGGCAGCAGUGGGGAAUAUUGCGCAAUGGGCGCAAGCCUGACGCAGCGACGCCGCGUGAGGGAUGAAGGUCUUCGGAUCGUAAACCUCUGUCAGCAGGGAGGAACGGGCACUGUUCUAAUCAGCAGUUAAUUGACGGUACCUGCAAAGGAAGCACCGGCUAACUCCGUGCCAGCAGCCGCGGUAAUACGGAGGGUGCGAGCGUUAAUCGGAAUUACUGGGCGUAAAGCGCACGUAGGCGGUCUGUCAAGUCAAGUGUGAAAUCCCCGGGCUCAACGUGGGAACUGCAUUUGAAACUGGCAAACUAGAGUGUGGUAGAGGAGAGUAGAAUUCCAGGUGUAGGAGUGAAAUCCGUAGAGAUCUGGAGGAACAUCAGUGGCGAAGGCGACUAUCUGGAAAAUAACUGACGCUGAGGUGCGAAAGCGUGGGUAGCAAACAGGAUUAGAUACCCUUGUAGUC
Molecule: ribosomal RNA, 465 nt
Filed under: uncultured bacterium
Lineage: Bacteria
Description: partial 16S ribosomal RNA
Rfam family: Bacterial small subunit ribosomal RNA
Source: RNAcentral